This 433-nucleotide ribosomal RNA is filed under the name uncultured bacterium. RNAcentral describes it as "partial 16S ribosomal RNA". It matches the Rfam family "Bacterial small subunit ribosomal RNA", at positions 29 to 507 of the family's 1533-position model. The record is from RNAcentral.
AACGAACGCUGGCGGCAUGCCUAACACAUGCAAGUCGAACGAGACCUUCGGGUCUAGUGGCGCACGGGUGCGUAACGCGUGGGAACCUGCCCUUAGGUUCGGAAUAACUCCCCGAAAGGGGUGCUAAUACCGGAUAAUGUCUUCGGACCAAAGAUUUAUCGCCUUUGGAUGGGCCCGCGUUGGAUUAGCUAGUUGGUAGGGUAAAAGCCUACCAAGGCGACGAUCCAUAGCUGGUCUGAGAGGAUGAUCAGCCACACUGGGACUGAGACACGGCCCAGACUCCUACGGGAGGCAGCAGUGGGUAAUAUUGGACUAUGGGCGAAAGCCUGAUCCAGCAAUGCCGCGUGAGUGAUGAAGGCCUUAGGGUUGUAAAGCUCUUUUACCCGGGAUGAUAAUGACAGUACCGGGAGAAUAAGCUCCGGCCAACUCCGUG